RNAcentral lists this transfer RNA (73 nucleotides) under Stegodyphus mimosarum. It matches the Rfam family "tRNA". From Rfam's summary of the family: Transfer RNA (tRNA) molecules are approximately 80 nucleotides in length. Their secondary structure includes four short double-helical elements and three loops (D, anti-codon, and T loops). The record is from Rfam by way of RNAcentral. Lineage: Eukaryota; Metazoa; Arthropoda; Arachnida; Araneae; Eresidae.
GCCUUCGUGGCGUAGUGGUCAGCACGCUCGACACGAAUUCGAGAGGUUCGGGGUUCGAACUCCGGUGAGGGUA